UUGAACGCUGGCGGUAUGCUUUACACAUGCAAGUCGAACGGCAGCACGGGGCAACCUGGUGGCGAGUGGCGAACGGGUGAGUAAUAUAUCGGAACAUGUCCGGAAGUGGGGGAUAACGUAGCGAAAGUUACGCUAAUACCGCAUAUGCCCUGAGGGGGAAAGGGGGGGAUCGCAAGACCUCUCGCUUUCGGAGUGGCCGAUAUCGGAUUAGCUAGUAGGUGCGGUAAAGGCUCACCUAGGCGACGAUCCGUAGCUGGUCUGAGAAGACGACCAGCCACACUGGAACUGAGACACGGUCCAGACUCCUACGGGAGGCAGCAGUGGGGAAUUUUGGACAAUGGGCGCAAGCCUGAUCCAGCCAUACCGCGUGAGUGAAGAAGGCCUUCGGGUUGUAAAGCUCUUUCAGCCGGAAAGAAAUCGCACUGGUUAAUACCUUGUGUGGAUGACGGUACCGGAAGAAGAAGCACCGGCUAACUACGU
Molecule: ribosomal RNA, 480 nt
Filed under: uncultured bacterium
Lineage: Bacteria
Description: bacterial SSU rRNA
Rfam family: Bacterial small subunit ribosomal RNA
Source: RNAcentral